RNAcentral lists this ribosomal RNA (406 nucleotides) under uncultured bacterium. Its description in RNAcentral is "partial 16S ribosomal RNA". It matches the Rfam family "Bacterial small subunit ribosomal RNA", at positions 30 to 526 of the family's 1533-position model. The record is from RNAcentral.
AUUGAACGCUGGCGGCAGGCUUAACACAUGCCAGUCGAGCGAGCGGCGGACGGGUGAGUAAUGUCUGGGAAACUGCCUGAUGGAGGGGGAUAACUACUGUAAACGGUAGCUAAUACCGCAUACCAUCAACUUUGCCCAGAUGGGAUUAGCUGGUAGGUGGGGUAAUGGCUCACCUAGGCGACGAUCCCUAUCUGGUCUGACAGUAUGACCAGACACACUGGAACUGAGACACGGUCCAGACUCCUACGGGAGGCAGCAGUGGGGAAUAUUGCACAAUGGGCGCAAGCCUGAUGCAGCCAUGCCGCUUGUGUGAAGAAGGCCUUCGGGUUGUAAAGCACUUUCAGCGAGGAGGCGUUACUCGCAGAAGAAGCACCGGCUAACUCCGUGCCAGCAGCCGCGGUAAUAC